RNAcentral lists this ribosomal RNA (2392 nucleotides) under Staphylococcus aureus DAR5815. Its description in RNAcentral is "bacterial LSU rRNA". It matches the Rfam family "Bacterial large subunit ribosomal RNA", at positions 3 to 2393 of the family's 2925-position model. RNAcentral also lists the same sequence under 1 other name. The record is from RNAcentral. Lineage: Bacteria; Bacillati; Bacillota; Bacilli; Caryophanales; Staphylococcaceae.
UUAAGUUAUUAAGGGCGCACGGUGGAUGCCUUGGCACUAGAAGCCGAUGAAGGACGUUACUAACGACGAUAUGCUUUGGGGAGCUGUAAGUAAGCUUUGAUCCAGAGAUUUCCGAAUGGGGAAACCCAGCAUGAGUUAUGUCAUGUUAUCGAUAUGUGAAUACAUAGCAUAUCAGAAGGCACACCCGGAGAACUGAAACAUCUUAGUACCCGGAGGAAGAGAAAGAAAAUUCGAUUCCCUUAGUAGCGGCGAGCGAAACGGGAAGAGCCCAAACCAACAAGCUUGCUUGUUGGGGUUGUAGGACACUCUAUACGGAGUUACAAAGGACGACAUUAGACGAAUCAUCUGGAAAGAUGAAUCAAAGAAGGUAAUAAUCCUGUAGUCGAAAAUGUUGUCUCUCUUGAGUGGAUCCUGAGUACGACGGAGCACGUGAAAUUCCGUCGGAAUCUGGGAGGACCAUCUCCUAAGGCUAAAUACUCUCUAGUGACCGAUAGUGAACCAGUACCGUGAGGGAAAGGUGAAAAGCACCCCGGAAGGGGAGUGAAAUAGAACCUGAAACCGUGUGCUUACAAGUAGUCAGAGCCCGUUAAUGGGUGAUGGCGUGCCUUUUGUAGAAUGAACCGGCGAGUUACGAUUUGAUGCAAGGUUAAGCAGUAAAUGUGGAGCCGUAGCGAAAGCGAGUCUGAAUAGGGCGUUUAGUAUUUGGUCGUAGACCCGAAACCAGGUGAUCUACCCUUGGUCAGGUUGAAGUUCAGGUAACACUGAAUGGAGGACCGAACCGACUUACGUUGAAAAGUGAGCGGAUGAACUGAGGGUAGCGGAGAAAUUCCAAUCGAACCUGGAGAUAGCUGGUUCUCUCCGAAAUAGCUUUAGGGCUAGCCUCAAGUGAUGAUUAUUGGAGGUAGAGCACUGUUUGGACGAGGGGCCCCUCUCGGGUUACCGAAUUCAGACAAACUCCGAAUGCCAAUUAAUUUAACUUGGGAGUCAGAACAUGGGUGAUAAGGUCCGUGUUCGAAAGGGAAACAGCCCAGACCACCAGCUAAGGUCCCAAAAUAUAUGUUAAGUGGAAAAGGAUGUGGCGUUGCCCAGACAACUAGGAUGUUGGCUUAGAAGCAGCCAUCAUUUAAAGAGUGCGUAAUAGCUCACUAGUCGAGUGACACUGCGCCGAAAAUGUACCGGGGCUAAACAUAUUACCGAAGCUGUGGAUUGUCCUUUGGACAAUGGUAGGAGAGCGUUCUAAGGGCGUUGAAGCAUGAUCGUAAGGACAUGUGGAGCGCUUAGAAGUGAGAAUGCCGGUGUGAGUAGCGAAAGACGGGUGAGAAUCCCGUCCACCGAUUGACUAAGGUUUCCAGAGGAAGGCUCGUCCGCUCUGGGUUAGUCGGGUCCUAAGCUGAGGCCGACAGGCGUAGGCGAUGGAUAACAGGUUGAUAUUCCUGUACCACCUAUAAUCGUUUUAAUCGAUGGGGGGACGCAGUAGGAUAGGCGAAGCGUGCGAUUGGAUUGCACGUCUAAGCAGUAAGGCUGAGUAUUAGGCAAAUCCGGUACUCGUUAAGGCUGAGCUGUGAUGGGGAGAAGACAUUGAGUCUUCGAGUCGUUGAUUUCACACUGCCGAGAAAAGCCUCUAGAUAGAAAAUAGGUGCCCGUACCGCAAACCGACACAGGUAGUCAAGAUGAGAAUUCUAAGGUGAGCGAGCGAACUCUCGUUAAGGAACUCGGCAAAAUGACCCCGUAACUUCGGGAGAAGGGGUGCUCUUUAGGGUUAACGCCCAGAAGAGCCGCAGUGAAUAGGCCCAAGCGACUGUUUAUCAAAAACACAGGUCUCUGCUAAACCGUAAGGUGAUGUAUAGGGGCUGACGCCUGCCCGGUGCUGGAAGGUUAAGAGGAGUGGUUAGCUUCUGCGAAGCUACGAAUCGAAGCCCCAGUAAACGGCGGCCGUAACUAUAACGGUCCUAAGGUAGCGAAAUUCCUUGUCGGGUAAGUUCCGACCCGCACGAAAGGCGUAACGAUUUGGGCACUGUCUCAACGAGAGACUCGGUGAAAUCAUAGUACCUGUGAAGAUGCAGGUUACCCGCGACAGGACGGAAAGACCCCGUGGAGCUUUACUGUAGCCUGAUAUUGAAAUUCGGCACAGCUUGUACAGGAUAGGUAGGAGCCUUUGAAACGUGAGCGCUAGCUUACGUGGAGGCGCUGGUGGGAUACUACCCUAGCUGUGUUGGCUUUCUAACCCGCACCACUUAUCGUGGUGGGAGACAGUGUCAGGCGGGCAGUUUGACUGGGGCGGUCGCCUCCUAAAAGGUAACGGAGGCGCUCAAAGGUUCCCUCAGAAUGGUUGGAAAUCAUUCAUAGAGUGUAAAGGCAUAAGGGAGCUUGACUGCGAGACCUACAAGUCGAG